RNAcentral lists this ribosomal RNA (460 nucleotides) under uncultured bacterium. RNAcentral's name for it is "partial 16S ribosomal RNA". It matches the Rfam family "Bacterial small subunit ribosomal RNA", at positions 338 to 795 of the family's 1533-position model. The record is from RNAcentral.
CCUACGGGAGGCAGCAGUGAGGAAUAUUGGUCAAUGGCCGGAAGGCUGAACCAGCCAUGCCGCGUGAAGGUCAGUGCCCUAUGGGCGUUAAACUUCUUUUGUGCGGGAGCAAUAAUGGUCACGUGGGGCCAGACGAGAGUACCGUACGAAUAAGCAUCGGCUAACUCCGUGCUAGCAGCCGAGGAAAGACGGGGGAUGCAAGCGUUAUCCGGGGUUACUGGGUUUAAAGGGUGCGUAGGCUGUGAGGUAAGUCAGCGGUGAAAUGCCCCCGCUCCACGGGGUGAGGUGCCAUUGAUACUGCCUUGCUGGAAUGCGGAUGCCGUGGGAGGAAUGUGUGGUGUAGCGGUGAAAUGCAUAGAUAUCACACAGAACACCGAUUGCGAAGGCAUCUCACGAAUCCGCGAUUGACGCUGAUGCACGAAAGCGUGGGUAUCAAACAGGAUUAGAUACCCCUGUAGUC